RNAcentral lists this ribosomal RNA (524 nucleotides) under uncultured bacterium. Its description in RNAcentral is "partial 16S ribosomal RNA". It matches the Rfam family "Bacterial small subunit ribosomal RNA", at positions 28 to 523 of the family's 1533-position model. The record is from RNAcentral.
GACGAACGCUGGCGGCGUGCCUAAUACAUGCAAGUCGAGCGCAGGAAAUCGACGGAACCCUUCGGGGGGAAGUCGACGGAAUGAGCGGCGGACGGGUGAGUAACACGUAAAGAACCUGCCCUCAGGUCUGGGAUAACCACGAGAAAUCGGGGCUAAUACCGGAUGGGUCAUCGGACCGCAUGGUCCGAGGAUGAAAGGCGCUUCGGCGUCGCCUGGGGAUGGCUUUGCGGUGCAUUAGCUAGUUGGUGGGGUAAUGGCCCACCAAGGCGACGAGGCAUAGCCGACCUGUGAGGGUGGUCGGCCACACUGGGACUGAGACACGGCCCAGACUCCUACGGGAGGCAGCAGUAGGGAAUCUUCCACAAUGGACGAAAGUCUGAUGGAGCAACGCCGCGUGAACGAUGAAGGCCCUCGGGUCGUAAAGUUCUGUUGUAAGGGAAGAACAAGUGCCGCAGGCAAUGGCGGCACCUUGACGGUACCUUGCGAGAAAGCCACGGCUAACUACGUGCCAGCAGCCGCAGUAA